This 227-nucleotide ribosomal RNA is filed under the name uncultured bacterium. RNAcentral describes it as "partial 16S ribosomal RNA". It matches the Rfam family "Bacterial small subunit ribosomal RNA", at positions 383 to 607 of the family's 1533-position model. The record is from RNAcentral.
CUGAACCAGCCAAGUAGCGUGAAGGAUGACUGCCCUAUGGGUUGUAAACUUCUUUUAUAAAGGAAUAAAGUCGGGUAUGUAUACCCGUUUGCAUGUACUUUAUGAAUAAGGAUCGGCUAACUCCGUGCCAGCAGCCGCGGUAAUACGGAGGAUCCGAGCGUUAUCCGGAUCUAUUGGGUUUAAAGGGAGCGUAGAUGGAUGUUUAAGUCAGUUGUGAAAGUUUGCGG